CAGCCGCCGCGGUAAUACGUAGGGCGCGAGCGUUAAUCGGAAUUACUGGGCGUAAAGCGUGCGCAGGCGGUUAUAUAAGACAGAUGUGAAAUCCCCGGGCUCAACCUGGGACCUGCAUUUGUGACUGUAUAGCUAGAGUACGGUAGAGGGGGAUGGAAUUCCGCGUGUAGCAGUGAAAUGCGUAGAUAUGCGGAGGAACACCGAUGGCGAAGGCAAUCCCCUGGACCUGUACUGACGCUCAUGCACGAAAGCGUGGGGAGCAAACAGGAUUAGAUACCCCAGUAGUCCCUGUCUCUUAUAC
This 301-nucleotide ribosomal RNA is filed under the name uncultured bacterium. Its description in RNAcentral is "partial 16S ribosomal RNA". It matches the Rfam family "Bacterial small subunit ribosomal RNA", at positions 509 to 807 of the family's 1533-position model. The record is from RNAcentral.